CGUCGUGAUGGCGGCGCUCCCGUUCGCACUACUGCUCGACCGGAUCAUGAACGGCAUAUCGCGGCCGCUCUUCGGCUGGAUCUCCGAUCAUAUCGGGCGCGAGAACACGAUGUUCGUGGCCUUCAUGCUCGAAGGUUGCGGCAUCAUCGCGCUGGCCACGUUUGGCUCUAAUCCUUGGGCCUUNNNNNNNNNNUGGGGCGAAGUCUACAGCCUGUUCAGCGCCACGUCGGGUGACGCCUUCGGCACCAAGAAUA
Molecule: unclassified non-coding RNA, 254 nt
Filed under: Hevea brasiliensis (rubber tree)
Lineage: Eukaryota; Viridiplantae; Streptophyta; Magnoliopsida; Malpighiales; Euphorbiaceae
Source: RNAcentral